Molecule: long non-coding RNA, 368 nt
Organism: Oxyura jamaicensis (ruddy duck)
Lineage: Eukaryota; Metazoa; Chordata; Aves; Anseriformes; Anatidae
Exons: 3
Source: RefSeq, a predicted model, not a curated record
CAAACCAGCUGGAGAUACAAACUGGAAGAAGCUGGAGACAGCCAGGAGACAACCAGGGCUGGAGCCAUCCAUGAGCUGUAAAUAUCUUCACUGUGUUUCCCACUAUUUCCUUCUGAGACUGAAGAACACAGAAAGCUGGGAUCGUGCCUCAGCACGUGCCGUACAGUCUGCACAACAGGGAGCUCUGUACAGUUUCUCUCCUACAAAGAGUGUCCUCAUUCAGUCCUUCAGCAGUACCUCUCUUCCGACACCUCCUGGUGACGAGGCAGACCCCCAGCAGCACCAGCACCAGCAGCAUGACGGCUGCGAGCGCGCUCCCAAGGGACGCGCCCGUCUGCGACAAGGAGGCUGCGACCACGGCCUCCUCC